CUACCGUGGCGCCGCCAUGGUUUUAUCGCUUCAUGCGAAUGAAGCGAUUGAAUUAAAAGGGAAGCCGGUGCGCCGCGCGAUGCGGCAAUUCCGGCGCUGCCCCGCAGCGGUAACUGGAAACGACCUCCGUCAAUGCACUGGCGCCCGUCCGGGCCGGGAAGCGACGGACAGUAGGCCCGCCACCUUUGAAGGUGGCCCGUCCAUGAGCCCGAAGACCUGCCCUGGCCGUCCGCGUCGA
Molecule: non-coding RNA, 238 nt
Filed under: Luteimonas sp. FCS-9
Lineage: Bacteria; Pseudomonadati; Pseudomonadota; Gammaproteobacteria; Lysobacterales; Lysobacteraceae
Also listed under: 1 other name
Source: RNAcentral